CGGCCCGACCCGACCACGCCUCCCGCAGCCCGGCCUUAAACGCCUGCCACGCACCCCACAGGCCCUCACACAAGAGGCCGCUUUCCCCGCAGCGCAAUGGCGGCCAGACUGCGUCCGCUCCGCGUUCCCAGCGCCGGGAAGUGCGCAACCCGAGUUCAGCAGUUGAUCCAGUCGGCGCCGAGGUGCUCAGAUGGAUUAGUGAGACGACCAAUUAGAGUUGCACACUGCGCCGAGGAGGCGGGCCCAUAGGCGGAAAGGCUUUGAACGCAAGGGGGUGUGGUCGGGGUGAAGCCCCGCCUCCUCCAUUUCCGAGGCUGUUUCUGGGGCCUCUGACAGACCUCAGCGUGUGAUGGGCUCCCGGCGUCGCACUGUGAGAGAGCGAAGUCUAAAGGGUUUGAAUAAAUUUGCCAAGAUUGCGCAUUGUAC
RNAcentral lists this long non-coding RNA (426 nucleotides) under Homo sapiens (human). Its description in RNAcentral is "non-protein coding lnc-WDR81-4:1". Lineage: Eukaryota; Metazoa; Chordata; Mammalia; Primates; Hominidae. The record is from RNAcentral.